This 433-nucleotide ribosomal RNA is filed under the name uncultured bacterium. RNAcentral describes it as "partial 16S ribosomal RNA". It matches the Rfam family "Bacterial small subunit ribosomal RNA", at positions 29 to 507 of the family's 1533-position model. The record is from RNAcentral.
AACGAACGCUGGCGGCAUGCCUAACACAUGCAAGUCGAACGAGACCUUCGGGUCUAGUGGCGCACGGGUGCGUAACGCGUGGGAACCUGCCCUUAGGUUCGGAAUAACUCCCCGAAAGGGGUGCUAAUACCGGAUAAUGUCUUCGGACCAAAGAUUUAUCGCCUUUGGAUGGGCCCGCGUUGGAUUAGCUAGUUGGUAGGGUAAAAGCCUACCAAGGCGACGAUCCAUAGCUGGUCUGAGAGGAUGAUCAGCCACACUGGGACUGAGACACGGCCCAGACUCCUACGGGGGGCAGCGGUAGGGAAUAUUGGACAAUGGGGGAAAGCCUGAUCCAGCCAUGCCGGGUGAGUGAUGAAGGCCGUAGGGUUGUAAAGCUCUUUUACCCGGGAUGAUAAUGACAGUACCGGGAGAAUAAGCUCCGGCUAACUCCGUG